GGCUGGUCUGAGUGAAGUGGUGUUCACAAUUAAUGGAUCACAGUGAGUUCCAGAUUUCUUUGCUCCCUCUCCAUUCCCACUGCUUCACUUGACUAGCCUUAA
Molecule: Y RNA, 102 nt
Rfam family: Y RNA
About the family: Y RNAs are components of the Ro ribonucleoprotein particle (Ro RNP), in association with Ro60 and La proteins.
Source: Ensembl